GUAAGUCAUAGAACUUCUCAAGUUUGGCC
This 29-nucleotide ribosomal RNA is filed under the name Scolecobasidium musae. Its description in RNAcentral is "Ochroconis musae partial 26S ribosomal RNA". The record is from RNAcentral. Lineage: Eukaryota; Fungi; Ascomycota; Dothideomycetes; Venturiales; Sympoventuriaceae.